Molecule: RNA transcript, 2907 nt
Organism: Xenopus laevis (African clawed frog)
Lineage: Eukaryota; Metazoa; Chordata; Amphibia; Anura; Pipidae
Gene: tpst2.S
Gene name: tyrosylprotein sulfotransferase 2 S homeolog
Exons: 8
Source: RefSeq, a predicted model, not a curated record
UCACCGUGUCAUUAGCUCUCCGGCAGGAAUCAGGGAGCUGUGCUGCUGGACUUUACCGGCGCUGCGGGACUUUUAAACAGCGAUCAGGCGCUGCGGGCUGUAUUAAGAAAAUCGCCAGUGCCCCGGGACGAGCAGGACUGAUGGGCGAUUCAUUUAAAAUGAACCAAACAAUGGACUGUAAAUUCUCUGAUGGCAUCGCCUCCUUAGAUCACCUGACCGAUAUUUGAUCCUGAGAGGCUGAGUAUUGUCGAAUAGUUACUAAGGGUUAAAAAGGACUGGAUGUUUGCCCCGAAUGUGGACCAAUGAGAAUGCGGUUCACGGUGAGAAAGGUGCUCUUCAUUAUGUCCUCUAUUAUAUUGGUGGCAUUAGCAGUGCACCUUGGGCAGCAAAUGCUAGAAUGCCAACAAAUUCUUGAUGGAAGUUAUGGCAAAAGAAACCGAGGUGUUAUGAAGCCAGAGAAUGAAGAAUUAGUCAUGGUGGACUCCAAUAAUAUAGAAUACCGAUACAGCAAGGACAUGCCACUCAUAUUUAUAGGAGGAGUGCCACGGAGUGGUACAACAUUAAUGAGAGCGAUGCUCGAUGCCCAUCCUGAUGUCCGCUGUGGCGAAGAGACUCGUAUUAUUCCCCGGAUUUUAGCAAUGCGGCAAGCAUGGUCGAAAUCUGGCAGUGAAAAAAUGCGCCUUGAUGAAGCUGGCGUGACGGACCAUGUGAUGGACUCAGCUGUCCAAGCAUUUAUUUUAGAAAUUAUAGCCAAGCACGGUGAACCCGCCAAAUUGUUAUGUAACAAGGACCCGUUUACUUUAAAAUCAUCUGUUUAUCUUUCAAGAUUGUUUCCAAAUUCCAAAUUUCUCUUAAUGAUACGUGAUGGGCGUGCCUCUGUACAUUCCAUGAUAACAAGGAAGAUAACAAUAGCAGGCUUUGAUUUAAACAGUUACAGAGACUGCCUCACCAAGUGGAACAAGGCAAUAGAUAUAAUGUAUGCCCAGUGCUUGGAAAUUGGCGAGCAAAAGUGCCUUCCAGUCCGGUAUGAACAGUUAGUUCUUCACCCUAAACAAACCAUGCGUUCAAUCAUUGAAUUCUUGGGUAUUCCGUGGAAUGAUGCAGUUCUGCAUCACGAGGAGCUGAUAGGAAAACCUGGAGGAGUGUCACUUUCAAAAACUGAGAAGUCAACAGACCAAGUAAUGAAGCCAGUAAACCUUGAGGCUUUGACAAAGUGGGUUGGGAAAUUACCAGCAGAUAUAGUAGAUGAUAUGCCUCGUAUUGCCCCCAUGCUUGCAAGGCUUGGGUAUGAUCCUUUUGCAAACCCACCGAAGUAUGGAAAUCCAGAUGCUAUGGUGGUCAACAACACUCACAGAGUUUUGAAGGGAGAUUUUAAAACCCCUAGCAGUUUGAAAGGAUAUAUGAAGGUUCAUCAAAAUAACUCUUCAAACUGGUGAUGUUACUGCAAUUCAGAGAAAAUAACCCCAACCUUGACAGUCUACCCUCACAAUAGAGUGAAUUGUUUUUCCUUUAGAAGAAACAAGAACCCUACUUAAAGUUUUCAAAGGAAACAAAAUAUCCAAGCAUAUUGCUUGUCAAAUGUUGCCAAAAUGUGACUGCCCAGAGCGAAUGUAUUUGCACUUGUUUGUACGCUGGAAUCUUUCCAAUCUCACAGUAACAAUGGAUGUCUCCAGCUUCUCUGAAUUUACUGUGAAAACGAAGUUAUCUGUGGAUCUUUUUACCUGCUAUUGAAUUUGGAAACCGUGUGACCAAGCUUUUUUAUUGAAUUCUAAAUAUUUUUACACCAUGUACAAAACACUAGGACCCUCAUUGCUUUUGCAUAUUCACAGAAGGACAAACAAACCACCUUUUAAGCCCUCUUUUUAAUAUAAUCUUAAAGUAAGUGUCAGCUUUUUAAACUGGUGUCUCCCAUGUAAUUUUCCAGUGUUUACUAUUAAAAUGUACAUUAUAAACUGGCAGUGGAGUUACCCUCACCUGAGAGGUUAUACAGCUUUACAAAAACAACGGUAUAGAGAAAUAGGUUGAAUGAAGUACGACAUUAUUACUUCUCAACAGAAGGAAAAUAUAUACAUUGUGGUUGUUAUUCAGUUAUGUAGCAGAAUCCUUCCCUUCAAGAAAAGGAGUCUGGUAUUAGGUUCCCCUUAAAAAAAAAAAGCAAAAAUGGCAUAAUAAUUCAGUGUUCUAAUUAAAUCCUGGCCUGUAUCUUGGAGGUUGACAAAAGUGUUGCUACCAUGUUGCUUGUUUUGGUCACAUUUAAUUGAUCUUAAUAGUACAGCAAUGACAAAAGUAAUUUAUCAGAGAGGAAAGAGUAAGGGAUAAUUAACAAUGGUAGAUUGUGUUGUUUUCCCCUUGACCAAAUCCCCAACAUAAAAAAAAUCUGAAAUUGCCCUCCAUUGCUCACAAUGAAAAUUGCUUGAAAGCAUUGGUCAUGCCCCAGUAGAGACACAUUGUACAGGUGCAUUGAUUUUGGAUUUUGGAGAACUGCCUUUUCACCCUUAUUUAGCUCCAUAAUAUAUAAUUUUGGCACCCAUUCUACAGAAGGUCCUACUGAUUCGUGUAGUGAAAAAAAAACAAUAUUAUAUCAAACCCCCAGUGUUGUGCAAGUAACACCUUACAGUAAAUGUUGCAUAACAUGUUUCUCUAUAUUUUAAUAUAUUUCUAAAGGCUGCAUUAUAUAAGCAGAUUGAUGAAAGGUUCUUUGACCGCAGUAACUUGGUGAUGGCAAAAAAUGUUUGUGUAUCAAAACAAUGCAAAAUAAACUGUGCAGACCAUUGCCAUGAAAGUGUUAAUUCAUUCCCUUCUAUCCAGUUCAUGUAAUUUGCAAUGCUUUAUUUAAGAGUUUAAAAUAUGAUCAGUUCAUGACCGUUUCAUAACAUUAAUCUUAAUAAAGUGAUAACUCGCACUUGA